This 292-nucleotide ribosomal RNA is filed under the name uncultured Acidobacteriota bacterium. RNAcentral's name for it is "uncultured Acidobacteria bacterium partial 16S ribosomal RNA". The record is from RNAcentral. Lineage: Bacteria; Pseudomonadati; Acidobacteriota.
GGACUACCCGGGUAUCUAAUCCUGUUUGCUACCCACGCUUUCGUGUCUCAGCGUCAGAAAUGGUCCAGUAAGCUGUCUACACCACAGGUGUUCCUCCUGAUAUCUACGCAUUUCACCGCUACACCAGGAAUUCCGCUUACCUCUCCCAUCCUCUAGCAUUCCAGUUUCUAAUGCACCCUCCCAGUUAAGCCGGGAGAUUUCACACCAGACUUGGAGCACCGCCUACACACUCUUUACGCCCAGUAAUUCCGAACAACGCUUGCUGCCUACGUAUUACCGCGGCUGCUGGCAC